GACGAACGCUGGCGGCGUGCUUAACACAUGCAAGUCGAACGGUGAAGCUCCAGCUUGCUGGAGUGGAUCAGUGGCGAACGGGUGAGUAACACGUGAGCAACCUGCCCCUGACUCUGGAAUAAACGCUGGAAACGGCGUCUAAUACUGGAUACGAGAAGGGUCCGCAUGGGCACUUUCUGGAAAGUUUUUCGGUUGGGGAUGGGCUCGCGGCCUAUCAGCUUGUUGGUGAGGUAAUGGCUCACCAAGGCGACGACGGGUAGCCGGCCUGAGAGGGCGACCGGCCACACUGGGACUGAGACACGGCCCAGACUCCUACGGGAGGCAGCAGUGGGGAAUAUUGCACAAUGGGCGAAAGCCUGAUGCAGCGACGCCGCGUGAGGGAUGACGGCCUUCGGGUUGUAAACCUCUUUCAGCAGGGAAGAAGCGAAAGUGACGGUACCUGCAGAAGAAGCACCGGCUAACUACGUG
Molecule: ribosomal RNA, 468 nt
Filed under: uncultured bacterium
Lineage: Bacteria
Description: partial 16S ribosomal RNA
Rfam family: Bacterial small subunit ribosomal RNA
Source: RNAcentral